RNAcentral lists this ribosomal RNA (137 nucleotides) under uncultured eukaryote. RNAcentral's name for it is "partial 18S ribosomal RNA". It matches the Rfam family "Eukaryotic small subunit ribosomal RNA", at positions 1299 to 1458 of the family's 1831-position model. The record is from RNAcentral.
UGGUGGAGUGAUUUGUCUGCUUAAUUGCGAUAACGAACGAGACCUUGACCUGCUAAAUAGCCAGGCUCACUUUUGUGGGCCGCCGGCUUCUUAGAGGGACUUUUGGCUCAAGCCAAUGGAAGUACGAGGCAAUAACA